AACGAACGCUGGCGGCAGGCUUAACACAUGCAAGUCGAACGCGUGUAGCAAUACACGAGUGGCGCACGGGUGAGUAACGCGUGGAUAUCUGCCUUUUGGUUCGGAAUAACCCCGGGAAACUGGGGCUAAUACCGGAUGGUUCCUUCGGGAUAAAGAUUUAUCGCCAAAAGAUGAGUCCGCGUACGAUUAGCUAGUUGGUGAGGUAAUGGCUCACCAAGGCGACGAUCGUUAGCUGGUCUGAGAGGACGAUCAGCCACACUGGGACUGAGACACGGCCCAGACUCCUACGGGAGGCAGCAGUGGGGAAUUUUGGACAAUGGGCGCAAGCCUGAUCCAGCCAUUCCGCGUGCAGGAUGAAGGCCUU
This 364-nucleotide ribosomal RNA is filed under the name uncultured bacterium. RNAcentral describes it as "bacterial SSU rRNA". It matches the Rfam family "Bacterial small subunit ribosomal RNA", at positions 29 to 418 of the family's 1533-position model. The record is from RNAcentral.